Molecule: ribosomal RNA, 169 nt
Filed under: uncultured bacterium
Lineage: Bacteria
Description: partial 16S ribosomal RNA
Rfam family: Bacterial small subunit ribosomal RNA
Source: RNAcentral
CCUACGGGAGGCAGCAGUGGGGAAUAUUGGACAAUGGGCGCAAGCCUGAUCCAGCCUUGCCGCGUGAGUGAUGAAGGCCCUAGGGUUGUAAAGCUCUUUUGUGCGGGAAGAUAAUGACGGUACCGCAAGAAUAAGCCCCGGCUAACUUCGUGCCAGCAGCCGCGGUAAU